Cottoperca gobio is the source of this 2695-nucleotide long non-coding RNA. RefSeq lists it as uncharacterized. NCBI's taxonomy places the organism in Eukaryota, Metazoa, Chordata, Actinopteri, Perciformes, Bovichtidae. The transcript has 4 exons. The record is from RefSeq and is a predicted model, not a curated record.
ACUAGUCAAACAUUCUACUUGUUAAUAAACAUUAACAUAACAUAAUAAACAGACGUACACAAGCAUACAAAUUCAGCAGUGAGUGUAUGACCUUCGUAUGUAUGUAAGAGGGAAUAUAGGACAGUAAAGCCAAGACGAAUACAUCUACUCUGUAGUUAAUGCUUCGAAAAUGCAGUUUCUGUUCUACUCAGGGCUGUAAAAUGUAUUUGAACAGAGCAAUAAAGGAGAGACAGACAAAAAGAGAGAGACAUUGAGCUUUGGUCUAGGUAAUAAACAUGUCCUUUGUCUCCUUGGCAACAUACAAUAGAGGAAGUUUACAAAAAACUGACCUGCCCACUUUCACCUGCCACAAUGCCAGCAAAUCAACACUAGCUGUUCAAGGUUUACAGGAAGUGGAGUCAGUCGUGACAUGGAGGCAGACUCGCUGACUGUGAAGUGAACCACUUUAGUUUUCACUGAUACGAACAAAAACAAGGACUUAAUAAUCAUGGACACCAUCUUUGCUACCCUAGCUUGUUAUCUUCUGGCGCUUUCUGUUGCUGUGGUACAAGCGCAAAACAAUAAUUUGACGAUCACAACUACAAUAACAACCCCUGUCUUAAACCUGACACACACACCUACGAUGGUAACUUCAUCUAACUCAACUGUACGUGUAACUGUUAUCUCAAACUUGACUGAAAACACGACUCCGUUUAUCAACGCGACCCAGGGCAAUGAAACAUUCACAGAAACUACAGCAGCAACAGUUGAGAGCACAAGUCUUCUCCAGACAUCUCAGUCAACAACCAUCAUAACUCCUCUGACAAAUAAUACAUCAGAAAUGACCACAAGACCUGGCAAUCACACUCCAACAUUUACUGCACAGACAACACCAACAUCACAGAGCACAGAAGGUUACAUGAGCACACCGGAUGCUACAGUAAAUACAACUGCAAAUUCAUCCCACACUGUCACCACAAUCUCAGAUUCAAUGGACAAAGCCACAAAAGGUUUGAUACUAAACAAUUCAGAAAGGACAAUGACUAUUUUCUUCAGCGCUGUACUCGGAGUAUUUGCUCUGGCAUGUGUUGGGUUCAUGCUUCACAGAUGCAAACAUAAAAUCCAAUACUUGCAUCAACCUCUAAAUAACACUGAUGACACGGAUGCAUUUGAGGCAGACGAUGACACACUUGUGAUUUCUGGAGGACUUUAUGAUGGCCACCCGAUAUACGACAACGUGCCAACAGCACAAACAACAGACCAAUCUCAAUUCAGUCUCCAGUUCCUUCAUUAAGGAGAGAGUUCAUAUUGUUUUGGUGCCUGAAAGGAUGGACAAAAUCAACUUUCUCCAUCUACUAAUUAGUACAAUUUCAAGACUGAAAUUUCACCACUGUAAAAUGUAUAGAGGCUGACAGCAGAGAGGAAGCGAACACAGAACAUUCAAACAAGGACAAUGCUGAACAAUUUGAACAUUAAUUUUACUUAAAUAGUUGUUAAUACUAGGAUACAUACAUAUACUAAAUAUAUAAGGUUUGCAUUAUAAACUUAUGCAGAACAAAUUAGAUUUCUUGUGAACACCAGUAAAGAUAAAUUAUUCAAUACAACAGCACCAAAACAAACUGAUUUUGAAACUGAACAAACUGAAGUACUUAAAAUCAGAGGGUGACUCUGCAGUCAUGUAAAAUCUACCUACCCUAAACAAACAGCUGAAAUAUGAAAAGGUAAAUAUUUCUGUUAACAGUGCUGUUUAACUGAUCCAAAACAAUAUUUUCUCUGCAUCUUAAGAAAGAAAUUGGCCUGUUUUUAUUAUUAAUGCUGUUUGUUUGAUCCCGAACAGUGAGUAUGAAUGUUAACAAAGUUGGAAUAUGAACCUGUCUGAUAUUGUUAAGGUUUAUCUGACCUGUAACAUAACUAUUUAUGCAAAGAUCUUGUCAUUGGUCAUCUUCUUUUUUUUGUCACAGCCAGUAACAGCCAUCCAACCAGCAUCUCUCAUCCUUUUCAUUGCAGCUAACUUCAAAGCCGUCCCUGGUGAUUUAUGAGUGACAGGGCUCUGGAUCUGCAAAAAUGUUGAUCCAUUUUUUUUAAAUAACAAUUACCAGGGAUUGCUUCUUCUUUGUCAAAGAAUACAAUGCAUAAAUCUCUUUUAAAAAUAGCAUUUUACCUUUUUGAAGAUGUUGGGUUUGCAGUGUGAAGCGGAAACAUUUGGUGUGUAUGUUCUUUCAAAAGUCUGCCAAGAAGAGAAACAGAAGGACAAAUCAGAUCUUUUGAUUUGAUAGAAUAUAAUUCACAAAAACAAUGAUACUGACAACUGACAACUGACCAACAUAUCAUUUUGAUCAGAGCUGUCUGACAAGUCUGACAGCAGUAAGGAGUUCUUCCCCCAGCUCGCUGCCUUUUCAGCAGAAGGAGGUGUCCUUAUUCUGUAGCACUGCAAAGGAAUUCAAAGAGUAAAUGUCAACAAAAUUAAUUAAUAUUUGUAUUCAUUAUGGAAAAUGUCAGAAUAAUACUGAAUAUUACUUUGAUCUUUGAUGUUCUACCAAGCCUGUUUGUAAUACUUCUUGGGGUUUUCUUCUCUUCAUUGCAAAUUUCCUACAAGAAUGAAUAAAUGAUGCAACAAUAAUAGACAGAAUCAAAUAGACUAAAUGUUUAUGUUAUACUGUUCUCUAUCAUCAUAGCCAAUCAACUUUCUUUGAAUAAAUAUACAGUGUUAACUAUU